RNAcentral lists this ribosomal RNA (482 nucleotides) under uncultured bacterium. RNAcentral's name for it is "partial 16S ribosomal RNA". It matches the Rfam family "Bacterial small subunit ribosomal RNA", at positions 30 to 507 of the family's 1533-position model. The record is from RNAcentral.
AUUGAACGCUGGCGGCAUGCCUUACACAUGCAAGUCGAACGGUAACGGGCCUUCGGGUGCUGACGAGUGGCGAACGGGUGAGUAAUACAUCGGAACGUGCCCGAUCGUGGGGGAUAACGAGGCGAAAGCUUUGCUAAUACCGCAUACGAUCUACGGAUGAAAGCAGGGGACCGCAAGGCCUUGCGCGGACGGAGCGGCCGAUGGCAGAUUAGGUAGUUGGUGGGAUAAAAGCUUACCAAGCCGACGAUCUGUAGCUGGUCUGAGAGGAUGAUCAGCCACACUGGGACUGAGACACGGCCCAGACUCCUACGGGAGGCAGCAGUGGGGAAUUUUGGACAAUGGGCGCAAGCCUGAUCCAGCCAUGCCGCGUGCAGGAUGAAGGCCUUCGGGUUGUAAACUGCCUUUGUACGGAACGAAAAGCCUUCUUUUAAUACAGGAGGGUCAUGACGGUACCGUAAGAAUAAGCACCGGCUAACUACGUG